This 751-nucleotide long non-coding RNA is filed under the name Triticum aestivum (bread wheat). RNAcentral's name for it is "long non-coding RNA (TAES_LNC006005)". The record is from RNAcentral. Lineage: Eukaryota; Viridiplantae; Streptophyta; Magnoliopsida; Poales; Poaceae.
UCGCUUGUCCAGAUGACGAAUUCCUGCCGGUGAGCGAGCGCUCUGAACCUUCUUGUUUUUCUCUGUCAACUGCCUCGGCGGCGCCAUGAAGUCCAUUGUGUGAGCAUAAGCCGCACACCAGCACCCCCCGAGCGGUCCAGUGUGUCGGUGCAAGCAGCCAUGUGCACAAACGCGAGCAGUUCAUGCAGGGUGGAGGUGUUGUUCGCCGCUGCCGACGCCAUGGAAGAACAGUACCUGCACGUGCACAGUUAAGAAAGAGCUUAUUUUGCUCUACCUUUUUUGUAGAUUUUGGGUUGUGCACUUCUCCUCAGCCCCCGCUAUACUGCAGUCCCGCAUCUGCCAUGGAGUAAACGCACUGCAACACCCGGACAACUGCGCUGCAUGAACAUCCUGGGCAAAUUGCUCUCCUGGGUGUCCUUCGAAAGCAGCUGACACCUGAUUCAAUAGGAGCCCCGUGCAGUUCAGAAAAAGUUACCCCUUGCGUGCGUUCACAACAGUUUAAAGUGCAGUGGAUGUGGUUCCUUUAGUGCUACAAUGCAAUUUUGUGUUUGUGUUUCUGUACUUCGCUAUGAUUUAGUAUGUAAAAAUAGGGAAAAGAAAAACCAUGUAGUUCCUUACUCUCGACAACACAGUAUAGAUUCGACUUGUGUGCGGAUUUGGAACAUGAAAAGAAUGCAGUUCCGGAAGGUUUGGUGCAGUGCAAAAUCCACUACAAAUUUGGAACAUCAAACAAAAACCCAUUUAAAAAACA